GAUGAAAACGUAGCGAAAUGCGAUACUUGGUGUGAAUUGCAGAAUCCCGUGAACCAUCGAGUCUUUGAACGCAAGUUGCGCCCGAAGCCACUAGGCCGAGGGCACGCCUGCCUGGGCGUCACACGUCGUUGCCCCCCCAUCUACUCCUUCGGGAUUGCGGGGGGCGGAUGAUGGCCUCUCGUGCGCCUCGUCGCGCGGUUGGCCUAAAUGCCAAGUCCUCGGCGACGCACGCCACGACAAUCGGUGGUUGCGAAACCUCGGUUGCCUGUCGUGUGCGGUCGUCGCGCAUCGAGGGCUCGAAAAAAUUGCCGGGCUUCGGCUCGACUUUCAACGCGACCCCAGGUCAGGCGGGGUUACCCGCUGAAUUUAAGCAUAUCAAUAAGCGGAGGA
Molecule: unclassified non-coding RNA, 390 nt
Filed under: soil metagenome
Description: partial contains 5.8S ribosomal RNA, internal transcribed spacer 2, and large subunit ribosomal RNA
Rfam family: 5.8S ribosomal RNA (bases 1-121)
Source: RNAcentral